CAGAAAGACUUAAGAAGUAGGAUAUUAGCCUCAUAAUAGAGCCGCAGGAAACCAUAGGGUCCAGCUCUUCCAGAAGAUCGUUGUGCCACAGAUCACAAAGGCAGGGAAAGAAAGGCAUUACCAGAAGGAAAGUAGUCCAACUCAAUGUCUUACGCAUCAGUGGCAUUUGAAUGAAAGCAGUAAGUCAGUGGCCAAGAAUCAUCGAU
RNAcentral lists this long non-coding RNA (206 nucleotides) under Panax ginseng (ginseng). Its description in RNAcentral is "long non-coding RNA (PGIN_LNC001673)". Lineage: Eukaryota; Viridiplantae; Streptophyta; Magnoliopsida; Apiales; Araliaceae. The record is from RNAcentral.